CUGUGUCUUACUCAUAGUUUUGAGAAACCACAUGCUAUUUGUCUUGGUUAAUUGCGAUAUAUCAAGAGUAAGAGCUGCCUCGAAAAUUAGUAUGCAUGAUUUGGGGUGUGUCUGCGAGUGACUGGCAUAUAGGCCAGCAAAGUAAAGAAAGAGACCCACCCUAGACUUGCACAGAAUAGGAAGGGAAAAAAGUGUUCCCAUUUUGAAAAAGCUAUGGCUUUCACAGCACCUUUACACAUUGGUCUUGUUUCUUCAGAGUGCAGAUUUGUACCAGCAACUCUAGAGUGAGCUCCCAGCCCUUCAGUCACUGACAUUCCUGGAUCCUCUGCCUGGCCAGUGUGCAGCCAGCCGUCAUGGAAUCUUUUACCUCUAAUCCCAGACCCCGGAGUCUGUCACUUCCAUGCGCUCAGCCUGGCCUCACUGAACUACAGCUGCAGACAAGGUUCCCCAAGUUAGAAGAAAUUCUAGCCCCAGCAAUUCAAAAAGCCUGCUAAUUUGACCCAACUGGAGGACAGGCUGUAUGUCAGACUCCAUGCAAAUUCAUGGCUUCUAGGUGAGCUCUGAAGAACUCGCAGUCCUGGGCCCCCACACAAAGUGGUUCAAUCAGUCAAUCUCUGAGGUUCUUGCCAGCUGAAACAUGAUCCUUUAGUU
Long non-coding RNA from Cavia porcellus (domestic guinea pig), 651 nucleotides. RefSeq lists it as uncharacterized. The transcript is spliced from 3 exons. The record is from RefSeq and is a predicted model, not a curated record. Lineage: Eukaryota; Metazoa; Chordata; Mammalia; Rodentia; Caviidae.